RNAcentral lists this ribosomal RNA (1335 nucleotides) under uncultured bacterium. RNAcentral describes it as "bacterial SSU rRNA". It matches the Rfam family "Bacterial small subunit ribosomal RNA". The record is from RNAcentral.
AGAGUUUGAUCCUGGCUCAGGGUGAACGCUGGCGGCGUGGAUAGGGCAUGCAAGUCAAGGGGUCCGCAAGGACACCGGCAGACGAGGUCAGUAAUACGUAGGAACGUACCCCGAAGUCUGGUAUAGCUCGCCGAAAGGCGGGGUAAUCCCAGAUGGUCUCGAAAGAGUAAAGAUUUAUCGCUUCGGGAGCGGCCUGCGCAGUAUCAGCUAGUUGGUAAGGUAAUGGCUUACCAAGGCUAUGACGCUUAGGGGAGGUGAGAGCCUGACCCCCACCGAUGGAACUGAGACACGGUCCAUACAUCUACGGAUGGCUGCAGUCGAGAAUAUUUGACAAUGGGCGAAAGCCUGAUCGAGCGACGCCGCGUGAUUGAUGAAGUCCUUCGGGACGUAAAGAUCUUUUAUGAGGGAGGAAGUUAUUGACUGUACCUCAUGAAUAAGGGGCUCCUAACUCUGUGCCAGCAGGAGCGGUAAUACAGAGGCCCCAAGCGUUACCCGGAAUUAUUGGGCGUAAAGGGUGCGUAGGCGGUCGUAUUAGUCUCUCGUUAAAGCCUUGGGCUUAACCCAAGAUCUGCGAGGGAAACGGUACGACUGGAAGAUGUGAGGGGUGUGCGGAACUCUAGGUGUAGGGGUGAAAUCCGUUGAUAUCUAGGGGAACACCAAAAGCGAAGGCAGCACACUGGCACAUUCUUGACGCUGAGGCACGAAAGCGUGGGUUUCGAACGGGAUUAGAUACCCCGGUAGUCCACGCCCUAAACGAUGAUCACUAGCUAUAAGGAGUAUCGACCCUCUUUGUGGCGUAGCUAACGCGUUAAGUGAUCCGCCUGGGUAGUACGAGCGCAAGCUUAAAACUCAAAGGAAUAGACGGGGACUUGCACAAGCGGUGGAUUAUGGGGUUUAAUUCGUCGACAAACGAAGAACCUUACCAAGGUUAGAAAUCUAGUUGAAGACAUUGGGAAACCUUUGUCGUCCGCAAGGACAAUUAGACAGGUGAUGCAUGGCCGUCGUCAGUUCGUGGUUUGAAUUGUUCCCUUAAGUGGGGUAACGAACGCAACCCUCAUUGCCUGUUACAUGUGUCAGGCGAGACUGCCCUUAUUUGGGGAGGAAGGUGGGGAUGACGCCAGGUCAGCAUGUCCCUCUGAUAUCUUGGGCUACACCCAUAAUACAAUGGCGACUACAACGAGAAGCAAUAUCGCGAGAUGGAGCAAAUCUUUAGAAAAGUCGCCCUAGUUCGGAUUGGAGUCUGCAACUCGACUCCAUGAAGCUGGAAUCGCUAGUAAUCGCGGGUCAGCCAUACCGCGGUGAAUACGUUCUCAAGUCUUGUACACACCGCCCGUC